This 31-nucleotide non-coding RNA is filed under the name Rattus norvegicus (Norway rat). The record is from RNAcentral. Lineage: Eukaryota; Metazoa; Chordata; Mammalia; Rodentia; Muridae.
UGUGCUUCAUUUCUCAAAAGAGACAAGGCGU